RNAcentral lists this ribosomal RNA (425 nucleotides) under uncultured bacterium. RNAcentral describes it as "partial 16S ribosomal RNA". It matches the Rfam family "Bacterial small subunit ribosomal RNA", at positions 354 to 796 of the family's 1533-position model. The record is from RNAcentral.
GUGGGGAAUCUUAGACAAUGGGGGAAACCCUGAUCUAGCCAUGCCGCGUGAGCGAUGAAGGCCUUAGGGUUGUAAAGCUCUUUCAGAUGGGAAGAUAAUGACGGUACCAUCAGAAGAAGCCCCGGCUAACUCCGUGCCAGCAGCCGCGGUAAUACGGAGGGGGCUAGCGUUGUUCGGAAUUACUGGGCGUAAAGCGCACGUAGGCGGACCAGAAAGUCAGAGGUGAAAUCCCAGGGCUCAACCUUGGAACUGCCUUUGAAACUCCUGGUCUUGAGGUCGAGAGAGGUGAGUGGAAUUCCGAGUGUAGAGGUGAAAUUCGUAGAUAUUCGGAGGAACACCAGUGGCGAAGGCGGCUCACUGGCUCGAUACUGACGCUGAGGUGCGAAAGCGUGGGGAGCAAACAGGAUUAGAAACCCCGGUAGUCC